AGUGAACGCUGGCGGUAGGCCUAACACAUGCAAGUCGAACGGCAGCACAGUAAGAGCUUGCUCUUACGGGUGGCGAGUGGCGGACGGGUGGGGAAUACAUCGGAAUCUACUUUUUCGUGGGGGAUAACGUAGGGAAACUUACGCUAAUACCGCAUACGACCUACGGGUGAAAGCAGGGGAUCUUCGGACCUUGCGCGAUUGAAUGAGUCGAUGUCGGAUUAGCUAGUUGGCGGGGUAAAGGCCCACCAAGGCGACGAUCCGUAGCUGGUCUGAGAGGAUGAUCAGCCACACUGGAACUGAGACACGGUCCAGACUCCUACGGGAGGCAGCAGUGGGGAAUAUUGGACAAUGGGCGCAAGCCUGAUCCAGCCAUACCGCGUGGGUGAAGAAGGCCUUCGGGUUGUAAAGCCCUUUUGUUGGGAAAGAAAAGCAGCAGGUUAAUACCCCGCUGUUCUGACGGUACCCAAAGAAUAAGCACCGGCUAACUUCGUG
This 492-nucleotide ribosomal RNA is filed under the name uncultured bacterium. RNAcentral describes it as "partial 16S ribosomal RNA". It matches the Rfam family "Bacterial small subunit ribosomal RNA", at positions 29 to 507 of the family's 1533-position model. The record is from RNAcentral.